Molecule: long non-coding RNA, 705 nt
Organism: Etheostoma spectabile (orangethroat darter)
Lineage: Eukaryota; Metazoa; Chordata; Actinopteri; Perciformes; Percidae
Exons: 3
Source: RefSeq, a predicted model, not a curated record
AUCGAUGCCAGGCGUGCAGCUUCCUCCUCAACCUGUAGAGGGACAGAGAUAGGGGCCAAUAGCAGUCAGUAUGGAUUUUAACUAACAGCCUUUUAUCCUGCUUUGCAUGAUGACAUCCUCUGGCUGUAAUUGGAGGUGAAGAGAAACAGGGCAGCCAUCUUGGAUUUCUCAUCUUUGUCUGACAAGAUCCUCUGACUACAGCAUUUCACUUGCCACGGAAAACAUUCCAGGGAACUUUGUAGAGUUCACUUCUAUCGACUAUAGGGUGACACAGGUGUUCUUUUGGCUCUCUGACCAUGGUGGAUCUCAGCCUGUCUACUACUUCUAUUUAUUUUGAACAAAGGGCUUUAAGUAAAUCAAAAUAUACAAUUUCCUUUAUAAUUGAUGUGAUUUUUUUCCUUUCUAAAAAAGUAUACAUUUUUUAAUGAUAAGAAGGAAAGUACAAAGGCCUAAUGUGCACCCCAAAUUGGAUUUGUGUACAAUGAAUGAACUGAUUUAGUUGAAAGACUCUCUGGUUUGUGGUCCGUACUUACUCUUCAUAAUUCUUUGAGAGGCAGACAUAUCCCCACCUUGACAGAGCAGCAGUGAGGACAGACCAUGGCAGGCAAAAACAGAGGAAAACAAACAAAAAGAGAGGAAAACAGGUGGAGAUGGAGCCGAUGAAAGAAAACAGUAAUACAAUAAACAGAAAUGUACAUUAAGGGG